AUUGAACGCUGGCGGCAUGCCUUACACAUGCAAGUCGAACGGCAGCACGGGUGCUUGCACCUGGUGGCGAGUGGCGAACGGGUGAGUAAUAUAUCGGAACGUACCUUAUUGUGGGGGAUAACGCAGCGAAAGCUGUGCUAAUACCGCAUAAUCCCUAAGGGGGAAAGCGGGGGACCGUAAGGCCUCGCGCAAUUAGAGCGGCCGAUACCUGAUUAGCUAGUUGGUGAGGUAAAGGCUAACCAAGGCAACGAUCAGUAGCUGGUCUGAGAGGACGAUCAGGCACACUGGGACUGAGACACGGCCCAGACUCCUACGGGAGGCAGCAGUGGGGAAUUUUGGACAAUGGGGGCAACCCUGAUCCAGCAAUGCCGCGUGAGUGAAGAAGGCCUUCGGGUUGUAAAGCUCUUUUGUCAGGGAAGAAACAGCAGCUCUAACACAGUAUGCGAAUGACGGUACCUGAAGAAUAAGCACCGGCUAACUACGUGCCAGCAGCCGCCGUAA
This 501-nucleotide ribosomal RNA is filed under the name uncultured bacterium. RNAcentral describes it as "partial 16S ribosomal RNA". It matches the Rfam family "Bacterial small subunit ribosomal RNA", at positions 30 to 523 of the family's 1533-position model. The record is from RNAcentral.